UGAGUGACUCACCGUCGCCAGGUGCGACCUCGCCCACUCCUCCCCACUUGGACCGAUUGGCGCCUUUCCAAGCCCGAGCCGCCUCCGAUUGGCCCAGGAGACUGUCGCGUAAGGAGACCGGGCCUCACCUUCUGCAGAAGUAACGCCUAUAAGCCAGGUCCUGGUGGAGUUGUUGGCCAUACAAAAAGGAAAUCAGCAAGGUGAAGAGCCAUUAAAGUUAUAAGACAGCAUGUUUAAAAGCCCUCUGGAUGAGGAUAGCAAGUGUCCUGCCAAAUACAUUCUUCUAAUUCUUGUGAAAUUCGGAGUAAUAACAAAAGAGACUGGAAGCUUCCCAAACAGGGGAAAUGUAAGCUCUACGCCCAUCGUUAGUCUUGAACUCACCACCCUGAGAUCAGGAGUCACAUGCUCUGCUGACUGAGACAGCCAGGCUCAGGCAGCAAUGUUUCAAAAAGGCUGAAAUUAAAAGAUUCUGGAAGUUGGCAGGCUGGUGAGGCUCAACAAGCACCUACGGAGAAUUUGUGUUGUUCCUCUGGGGCACCGCUGGUCAGGGACUGCAAAGCCGGUUCCUGCCUUUGAAGAGCUCAAAUCAACUGGGAAGGGAUAACAACAAAAAUGUUGAGUGGUGGGUAUGACAUGAGUAUAUGGGCAACACAGCCUGCUGCAGACAAAGUCUGAAGAGGCCAAUGUAGUCUGGAAAGAAAGGCAGAGAAGGCAAGGGCACGGACUGCUGGUAGACUCGGGCUCCCCCAGCCUCACCUGCCAAAAUAGCGAUGAGGACAGGGAAGAACUUUACAGGGCAAAGUAAUGGGAUGGGACAGCUAUCAACGUUAUGAACCAAAGAGUUAAUGAGGGAGAAAGAGGAAUGUUCUCUUAACAAUCGAUGAUCAAGCCAGAGGGCACGGUCGGUCAUGUAGCAGGCCAGCUCAGUUUACCUCCAGGACCCUCUCUGACCCUCACUGGCUAAACAGAAGAAAGCAAAUCAUGUAGGUUGGCAGGCUAGGAUGGAAGCUAAAAACCUAGUUUAUGGUGAUAGAAGACAGAAAAGAUUAAGGAUGCGGUGCCUGGGUGGCUCAGUUGGUUCAGCGUCUGCCUUCGGCUCAGGUCAUAAACCUGGGGUCCUGGCAUUGAGAGCCCACCCACAUCCGCAUCCGGCUGCCUGCUCUGCUUCUGCCUCUUCCUCUGCCCUUCCCCCCAUUCUGUUCUCUCUCUCUCUCUCUCUCUCUCAAAUAAAUAAAUAAAAUCUUUAAAAAAAAAAGGAA
Long non-coding RNA from Zalophus californianus (California sea lion), 1259 nucleotides. RefSeq lists it as uncharacterized. The transcript has 4 exons. Lineage: Eukaryota; Metazoa; Chordata; Mammalia; Carnivora; Otariidae. The record is from RefSeq and is a predicted model, not a curated record.